Molecule: long non-coding RNA, 1228 nt
Filed under: Marmota monax (woodchuck)
Lineage: Eukaryota; Metazoa; Chordata; Mammalia; Rodentia; Sciuridae
Source: RNAcentral
ACCAGGUGGAACAGGGAACUCCUAGAACCCAGCAAGCUUUUACAGGUUUCCUGGAGAUGCACCUCUGGGGAGAAAUCCAUCUGCAUUCCGACGCAGGUAGCCUGUGAGCCCUGUGAGGGCAGGGACUGGGUCUGUCCAGCUUGUGGUUGUAUGCCAGGUGGUGGGCUCAGAGGUACUUAGGCAGUUGGAACAAGUCCCGAAGUCGCUAGGUGGGAAACGAAGCAUCUGGCACUUGGAGCAGGUGGUUGGAUCCACCAGCCAAAGGCUUGCAGAGCAGCUGUUUGGCUGUCUCCUGUCUAGCAGCUUUCUGAUUGUUCUAGAAAAGACAGGUAGUUGGCUCUUUAUUAUGAGACCUCCAACUUUAUGUCUUUGGCCCCCAGUUAAGGUUUGUAUCAGUGUGCCCACGGGAAGCACUACAAAUCCUUGAGGUGUACCCAGCUCACAGGUCAACUCUGGUACUCGCGAGGUACUAAUUGCAAUAAAACCGUGCAGUCAGGCAUCCUGGGCACCAAUCUUUAGCCCGCGGAAUCCUCACCUUGCACGAGUGGCGGGGGGAAAGCCCUGUCCCACGCUUGCUUUCCAUGCAAUGGAUGUGGAAUUCUGAGAUGAGAAGUGACUUGCCCAAGGUCCCAGAGAGGAAAUGGUGGAGCUGGGCCCUGGCUCCAGAGCUGGUGCUGGUAACCUGUAUCCUAGCUGCUAAAACAAACUGCAUCAUCGGCAGAAAUGAGUAAGUAGGCAUAGCAGGAGCUGGAUCUCGCACUACCAAAGACUCUGGUUGAAAUAGCAAUCCCUGGUAAUAUUCCCCUGAGCAGGAAAGGGGGACACCCACCAGCUCUGCCUCACUCCUGCUGCCUAAGUUCAAGGUCUGCGGUGACUGCUUAAUCAGUUGAUGACAUCCUGUCCCUCUUAGCUCCUGUCCUGGGUAUUUCAUUUCUUAACAAAGUAUUGUUAGAAUUUUAUUAAAAAAUAGUUUUAAAAUGGAAUUUCAUAGUUUUUAAUAUGGUUUGUAUCAGUGUGCUGCCAUUUGUGGUCAAAAAUUUUAAAAAUAAUAAAUGCUUUUAUUAUCUUAGCACUCCCUUUCACGUAUUGGAGGCAUUUUCCCCGAAUAACUCUCAUGGUCACCCUCCCAGUGCCCAGCAGAGACCUGGUACAUUACAUGGCAAACAUUGGGCCAUUAUUUGUUGAAUAGCAAGUUAUUUAAAAAGUGUUAAUUAAAAAUGAAUGGUUA